GAACGGCAUCCGGAACUGUCAGGCUAGAGUGCAGGAGAGGAAGGUAGAAUUCCCGGUGUAGCAGUGAAAUGCGUAGAGAUCGGGAGGAAUACCAGUGGCGAAGGCGGCCUUCUGGACUGACACUGACACUGAGGUGCGAAAGCGUGGGUAGCAAACAGGAUUAGAUACCCUGGUAGUCCACGCCGUAAACGAUGUCGACCAGCCGUUGGGUGCCUAGCGCACUUUGUGGCGAAGUUAACGCGAUAAGUCGACCGCCUGGGGAGUACGGCCGCAAGGUUAAAACUCAAAUGAAUUGACGGGGGCCCGCACAAGCGGUGGAGCAUGUGGUUUAAUUCGAUGCAACGCGAAGAACCUUACCUACUCUUGACAUCCUGCGAACUUGUGAGAGAUCA
Molecule: ribosomal RNA, 392 nt
Filed under: uncultured bacterium
Lineage: Bacteria
Description: bacterial SSU rRNA
Rfam family: Bacterial small subunit ribosomal RNA
Source: RNAcentral